GGCGGCGUGCUUAACACAUGCAAGUCGAACGAACCUUCGGGUUAGUGGCGGACGGGUGAGUAACGCGUGGGAAUCUGCCCUCAGGAGGGGGAUAACGGUUGGAAACGACCGCUAAUACCCCAUAUGCCGAGAGGUGAAAUGAAUUUCGCCUGAGGAUGAGCCCGCGUCUGAUUAGCUUGUUGGUGAGGUAAUGGCUCACCAAGGCAUCGAUCAGUAGCUGGUCUGAGAGGAUGAUCAGCCACACUGGGACUGAGACACGGCCCAGACUCCUACGGGAGGCAGCAGUGGGGAAUUUUCCGCAAUGGGCGAAAGCCUGACGGAGCAACGCCGCGUGAGGGACGAAGGCCUCUGGGCUGUAAACCUCUUUUCUCAAGGAAGAAGAUAUGACGGUACUUGAGGAAUAAGCCACGGCUAAUUCCGUGCCAGCAGCCGCGGUAAUACGGGAGUGGCAAGCGUUAUCCGGAAUUAUUGGGCGUAAAGCGUCCGCAGGCGGCUUUUCAAGUCUGCUGUUAAAACGUGGAGCUUAACUCCAUCACGGCAGUGGAAACUGAUUGGCUUGAGUAUGGUAGGGGCAGAGGGAAUUCCCGGUGUAGCGGUGAAAUGCGUAGAUAUCGGGAAGAACACCAGUGGCGAAGGCGCUCUGCUGGGCCAUUACUGACGCUCAUGGACGAAAGCCAGGGGAGCGAAAGGGAUUAGAUACCCCUGUAGUCCUGGCCGUAAACGAUGAACACUAGGUGUCGGGGGAAUCGACCCCUUCGGUGUCGUAGCUAACGCGUUAAGUGUUCCGCCUGGG
RNAcentral lists this ribosomal RNA (793 nucleotides) under uncultured Prochlorococcus sp. RNAcentral's name for it is "bacterial SSU rRNA". It matches the Rfam family "Bacterial small subunit ribosomal RNA", at positions 38 to 877 of the family's 1533-position model. Lineage: Bacteria; Bacillati; Cyanobacteriota; Cyanophyceae; Synechococcales; Prochlorococcaceae. The record is from RNAcentral.